RNAcentral lists this ribosomal RNA (253 nucleotides) under uncultured bacterium. Its description in RNAcentral is "partial 16S ribosomal RNA". It matches the Rfam family "Bacterial small subunit ribosomal RNA", at positions 524 to 776 of the family's 1533-position model. The record is from RNAcentral.
CACGAACCGUACGAACGUUAUUCGGAAUUACUGGGCUUAAAGGGUUUGUAGGCGGCCUUGUAAGUCAGGUGUGAAAGCCCUCGGCUCAACCGAGGAACAGCGCUUGAUACUGCAAGGCUUGAGGGAGACAGGGGUAAGCGGAACUGAUGGUGGAGCGGUGAAAUGCGUUGAUAUCAUCAGGAACACCGGUGGCGAAAGCGGCUUACUGGGUCUCUUCUGACUCUGAGGAACGAAAGCUAGGGUAGCGAACGGG